This is a small nuclear RNA of Malania oleifera, 199 nucleotides long. RefSeq annotates it as U2 spliceosomal RNA. NCBI's taxonomy places the organism in Eukaryota, Viridiplantae, Streptophyta, Magnoliopsida, Santalales, Ximeniaceae. The transcript has a single exon. The record is from RefSeq and is a predicted model, not a curated record.
ACACCUUUUUCAGCCUUUUGGCUAAGAUCAAGUGUAGUAUCCGUUCUUAUCAGUUUAAUAUCUGAUAUGUGGGUCAUAGACUCACAUGAUAUUAAAUUAAUAUUAAUUUUUUUUAAGGAAAGAGUCCACUAUAGUAGCUUGCUAUUGGGGCUUCUCAUGCUGGGUCUUGGCGCACCCUACCAAAAUUAGUUUAAAUAUU